RNAcentral lists this ribosomal RNA (253 nucleotides) under uncultured bacterium. Its description in RNAcentral is "partial 16S ribosomal RNA". It matches the Rfam family "Bacterial small subunit ribosomal RNA", at positions 524 to 776 of the family's 1533-position model. The record is from RNAcentral.
UACGGGGGGGGCAAGCGUUGUUCGGAAUUACUGGGCGUAAAGGGCUCGUAGGCGGUUUGUCGCGUCGGGAGUGAAAACACCGGGCUUAACUCGGUGCUUGCUUUCGAUACGGGCAGACUAGAGGCAUGCAGGGGAGAACGGAAUUCCUGGUGUAGCGGUGAAAUGCGCAGAUAUCAGGAGGAACACCGGUGGCGAAGGCGGUUCUCUGGGCAUGUCCUGACGCUGAGGAGCGAAAGUGUGGGGAGCGAACAGG